Molecule: ribosomal RNA, 253 nt
Filed under: uncultured bacterium
Lineage: Bacteria
Description: partial 16S ribosomal RNA
Rfam family: Bacterial small subunit ribosomal RNA
Source: RNAcentral
UACGUAGGGUGCAAGCGUUAAUCGGAAUUACUGGGCGUAAAGCGUGCGCAGGCGGUUAUGCAAGACAGAUGUGAAAUCCCCGGGCUCAACCUGGGAACUGCAUUUGUGACUGCACGGCUGGAGUGCGGCAGAGGGGGAUGGAAUUCCGCGUGUAGCAGUGAAAUGCGUAGAUAUGCGGAGGAACACCGAUGGCGAAGGCAAUCCCCUGGGCCUGCACUGACGCUCAUGCACGAAAGCGUGGGGAGCAAACAGG